Molecule: ribosomal RNA, 406 nt
Filed under: uncultured bacterium
Lineage: Bacteria
Description: bacterial SSU rRNA
Rfam family: Bacterial small subunit ribosomal RNA
Source: RNAcentral
UGGGAAUAUUGGACAAUGGGGGAAACCCUGAUCCAGCGACGCCGCGUGAGUGAUGAAGGCCUUCGGGUCGUAAAGCUCUUUUAGUGGGGAAGAAGGGAAACUUGACUGUACCCACAGAAAAAGCACCGGCUAACUCUGUGCCAGCAGCCGCGGUAAUACAGAGGGUGCAAGCGUUGUUCGGAAUUAUUGGGCGUAAAGCGCGUGUAGGCGGCCAUUUAAGUCUGGUGUGAAAUCCCUCGGCUCAACCGAGGAAGUGCAUUGGAUACUGAAUGGCUAGAGGAUGAGAGAGGAGAGUGGAAUUCCAGGUGUAGGGGUGAGAUCCGUAGAUAUCUGGAGGAACACCAGAGGCGAAGGCGGCUCUCUGGCCCAUUUCUGACGCUGAGACGCGAAAGCGUGGGGAGCAAAC